Molecule: ribosomal RNA, 206 nt
Filed under: uncultured bacterium
Lineage: Bacteria
Description: partial 16S ribosomal RNA
Rfam family: Bacterial small subunit ribosomal RNA
Source: RNAcentral
CUUGUAGGCGGUUUGUCGCGUCUGCCGUGAAAUCCUCUGGCUUAACUGGGGGCGUGCGGUGGGUACGGGCAGACUUGAGUGCGGUAGGGGAGACUGGAACUCCUGGUGUAGCGGUGGAAUGCGCAGAUAUCAGGAAGAACACCAAUGGCGAAGGCAGGUCUCUGGGCCGUCACUGACGCUGAGGAGCGAAAGCGUGGGAGCGAACA